AGAGUUUGAUCCUGGCUCAGGACGAACGCUGGCGGCGUGCUUAACACAUGCAAGUCGAACGAUGAAGCCUAGCUUGCUAGGUGGAUUAGUGGCGAACGGGUGAGUAAUACGUGAGUAACCUACCUUUAACUCUGGGAUAAGCCUGGGAAACUGGGUCUAAUACCGGAUACGACCAAUCUCCGCAUGGGGUGUUGGUGGAAAGCGUUAUGUAGUGGUUAUAGAUGGGCUCACGGCCUAUCAGCUUGUUGGUGAGGUAACGGCUCACCAAGGCGACGACGGGUAGCCGGCCUGAGAGGGUGACCGGCCACACUGGGACUGAGACACGGCCCAGACUCCUACGGGAGGCAGCAGUGGGGAAUACUGCACAAUGGGCGCAAGCCUGAUGCAGCGACGCCGCGUGAGGGAUGACGGCCUUCGGGUUGUAAACCUCUGUUAGCAGGGAAGAAGAGAGAUUGACGGUACCUGCAGAGAAAGCGCCGGCUAACUACGUG
Molecule: ribosomal RNA, 491 nt
Filed under: uncultured Rothia sp.
Lineage: Bacteria; Bacillati; Actinomycetota; Actinomycetes; Micrococcales; Micrococcaceae
Description: bacterial SSU rRNA
Rfam family: Bacterial small subunit ribosomal RNA
Source: RNAcentral